Molecule: long non-coding RNA, 1974 nt
Organism: Quercus robur (English oak)
Lineage: Eukaryota; Viridiplantae; Streptophyta; Magnoliopsida; Fagales; Fagaceae
Exons: 5
Source: RefSeq, a predicted model, not a curated record
CUCUCUCUCUCUCUGUGUUUCUUUUGUUUCUGAAUUUGAAAGGGUUCACGGAAGCGCGUGAGAACCAGAACUCUGAUUUCUACAUCUAGUGGCCAUUGUGAGAACUGGGAUGGCAGAAUCAAAGGGUGAUGUCUCUCGCAUUGUUUAUCCAUCUUAUUCAGCUUUCUAGGGAUUAUGUCGUCUAUAGAUAUCUCGUAUAUAGUAAUUUGAUGCUAAAAGCAUGAAAGCUUUCAAUUGACUGCUGUUGUGGCUUCUGAUUCCAGUGAUAAAUCAAAAGAGAAAUCAGGGGAUUAAAAGGUAAUAUGAUUUAAACAAUGUAUAUUCAGAUAAUUUCGUGGAUGUCACACCAGCUUGUUCAAAAUCGUGAAGCUGCCAGAAAAAGCUGAUUAAGGAAAAAAGCAUAUGUGCAACAACUUGAGAGUAGCCGGCUAAAGCUAAAUCAACUAGAACGAGAGCUCCGGUGAGCCCGCCAGCAGCUUCUUGUGAAUCAAUUGGAGCCUUAAACUGAGAUGCUCUGUUACUAGGCAUGGAGGCAUUGCUACAAUCCCUGGCUGAGACAUUGACCAAUGGCUCACCUGGCCGGUUAGGAUCAUCUGGGAAUGUAGCAAACUACAUAGGAAAGCUUGGAACACUCGAGGGAUUCCUUUGCCAGGCUAGAUUUGCAGUGCUAGGAUAAUCCUUACACAUGGUAGAAUAUUGCUUCUUGGGAUUGCUUUAAAAUUCUUUAGCUACUUUGAUAUUGUCAGUAAAAUAGUAGGAAAUCUAUAAGGAUAAUUUUUUUGAGGAAUACCCCUUGUGCAAUUAUAAAAUUUUAAUUCAUAUUCUUUGUCCAGUACUAGCCAAUUUGUGUUCCCAUAGCAUUAAGAUUAAAUGCACUUUGGUAUGUUUUUAGGUAUUUGGAACACGAGGAAUAAAGCAAAUCCUACAUGUGAUUGUUGUAUUCGUAUAUGUUCUUCAAAGCAUUAUGCAUUUAAUCUUGCUUGGGAAUUUUUAUGGGGGGUGGGGUGGGUCUGCAAAAAACAGAGUCUGGUUACUUUUCAUUAACUUCCCAUUAUGUAUUUAUUUGUUUUUUUAGAAAAGAGUCUAUAAAAACUUGGUCCUCUUUCUAGGUGAAAUAAAUCAUGCAUUUAAAAGGCUUGGUGCUAGUUUUGAUGCAACUUGUACAUAACUUGGUCUUCUUGUAACUGUUGAUGAGGCCAUUUUAUGUCACUUUUUCUUUUCUUUUCUUGCAAUUACCAGGUUGACAAUGUGCAUAAAAAAACACUAUAACAAUGCACCAUAUAUUGAUAACUAGGCAAUCAGCUCAUGCACUUCUUGCAAUAAAUGACUAUUCCUUUCGUCUUCAAGCCCUUAGUCUCCUCUGGCUUGUGCGGUCACGGAAAUGAGAAGCACAAAAUUUGUCUUGAUGAAGUUCUUUUGAAGACUGGCUCAACCCAUCCUAUCAAAGGAUCAUUAAGCAUUGAGUUCGCACUGGAUCAGUCAUGAUUCACCAUUAAGUGGAUUGCUGUCGAUCUUUAACCCCAAAUUCCUUUAGGGAUUGGGUUGUCAUGCAUUAGUCAUAUUGAUGAUGAAAUUGAAAGUUGCAAAUCUCUUUGUUAUUGAUUUGGUCUCCAUUUGCACUUCUAGUGUCACAUGUGUUUACCUAGGUCAUAUAUUCUCAUUUCUUAUGUUGUUGAUUUGGUCUCCAUAUGCACUUCUAGUGUCACAUAUGUUUACCUAUGUCGUUUAUUCUCAUUUCUUAUGUUUAAACUAUAGUUCUAAUAAUCUGAUUAUGCUAGAUGUUUAAUAGAACCAUGAAGGACAAUAGGAUAGUAUUUGUAAUGUAGGUUACAGUAAUCAGUUUGUAUACCAAAAUUAGAUUAUAUAUUGGUGAAAGAAUUCAUUUUUGGUGUUUGGAUUAAUUCAUAUUCAACAUGUAAUAUGUUUUUAUGCACAAUUUCAUUGGCUAUGAGAAUUCUGUAGGCUGGUUGUAUC